RNAcentral lists this ribosomal RNA (491 nucleotides) under uncultured bacterium. RNAcentral's name for it is "partial 16S ribosomal RNA". It matches the Rfam family "Bacterial small subunit ribosomal RNA", at positions 29 to 506 of the family's 1533-position model. The record is from RNAcentral.
AGUGAACGCUGGCGGUAGGCCUAACACAUGCAAGUCGAACGGCAGCACAGUAAGAGCUUGCUCUUACGGGUGGCGAGUGGCGGACGGGUGAGGAAUACAUCGGAAUCUACUUUUUCGUGGGGGAUAACGUAGGGAAACUUACGCUAAUACCGCAUACGACCUACGGGUGAAAGCAGGGGAUCUUCGGACCUUGCGCGAUUGAAUGAGCCGAUGUCGGAUUAGCUAGUUGGCGGGGUAAAGGCCCACCAAGGCGACGAUCCGUAGCUGGUCUGAGAGGAUGGUCAGCAACACGGGACCUGAACCACGAUCCAGACCCCGACGGGAGGCAGCAGUGGGGAAUAUUGGACAAGGGCCGCAAGCCUGAUCCAGCCAUACCGCGGGGGUGAAGAAGGCCUUCGGGUUGUAAAGCCCUUUUGUUGGGAAAGAAAAGCAGCAGGUUAAUACCCCGCUGUUCUGACGGUACCAAAAGAAUAAGCACCGGCUAACUUCGU